RNAcentral lists this unclassified non-coding RNA (345 nucleotides) under soil metagenome. RNAcentral describes it as "partial contains 5.8S ribosomal RNA, internal transcribed spacer 2, and large subunit ribosomal RNA". The stretch from base 1 to 120 matches the Rfam family "5.8S ribosomal RNA", at positions 35 to 154 of the family's 154-position model. The record is from RNAcentral.
GAUGAAGAACGCAUCGAAAUGCGAUAAGUAGUGUGAAUUGCAGAAUUCAGUGAAUCAUCGAAUCUUUGAACGCACAUUGCGCCCUUUGGUAUUCCUUAGGGCAUGCCUGUUCGAGCGUCAUUUCAACCCUCAAGCCCUGCUUGGUGUUGGGCGUUUGUCCUGCCUCCGCGCGGGACUCGCCUCAAAGACAUUGGCGGCCGGUUUCCCUUUGCAGGCCACGAGCGCAGCACAGCGAGCGCUCUACGUGGACGCGGGGUCGGCGCACCAGAAGCCCUCUUUCUCGAAUUUUGACCUCGGAUCAGGUAGGGAUACCCGCUGAACUUAAGCAUAUCAAUAAGCGGAGGA